This 359-nucleotide unclassified non-coding RNA is filed under the name soil metagenome. Its description in RNAcentral is "partial contains 5.8S ribosomal RNA, internal transcribed spacer 2, and large subunit ribosomal RNA". The stretch from base 1 to 121 matches the Rfam family "5.8S ribosomal RNA", at positions 35 to 154 of the family's 154-position model. The record is from RNAcentral.
GAUGAAGAACGUUAGCGAAAUGCGAUAAGUAAUGUGAAUUGCAGAAUUCAGUGAAUCAUCGAAUCUUUGAACGCACAUUGCGCCCGUCAGUAUUCUGGCGGGCAUGCCUGUUCGAGCGUCAUUACGCCCCUCAAGUCCCCUGUGGACUUGGUGUUGGGGAUCGGCGAGGCUGGUUUUCCAGCACAGCCGUCCCUUAAAUUAAUUGGCGGUCUCGCCGUGGCCCUCCUCUGCGCAGUAGUAAAACACUCGCAACAGGAGCCCGGCGCGGUCCACUGCCGUAAAACCCCCCAACUUUUUAUAGUUGACCUCGAAUCAGGUAGGACUACCCGCUGAACUUAAGCAUAUCAAUAAGCGGAGGA